RNAcentral lists this ribosomal RNA (865 nucleotides) under uncultured Halomonas sp. RNAcentral describes it as "bacterial SSU rRNA". It matches the Rfam family "Bacterial small subunit ribosomal RNA", at positions 46 to 902 of the family's 1533-position model. Lineage: Bacteria; Pseudomonadati; Pseudomonadota; Gammaproteobacteria; Oceanospirillales; Halomonadaceae. The record is from RNAcentral.
GCCUAACACAUGCAAGUCGAGCGGCAGCACGGGAAGCUUGCUUCCUGGUGGCGAGCGGCGGACGGGUGAGUAAUGCAUAGGAAUCUGCCCGGUAGUGGGGGAUAACCUGGGGAAACCCAGGCUAAUACCGCAUACGUCCUACGGGAGAAAGCAGGGGCUCUUCGGACCUUGCGCUAUCGGAUGAGCCUAUGUCGGAUUAGCUGGUUGGUGAGGUAAUGGCUCACCAAGGCGACGAUCCGUAGCUGGUCUGAGAGGAUGAUCAGCCACAUCGGGACUGAGACACGGCCCGAACUCCUACGGGAGGCAGCAGUGGGGAAUAUUGGACAAUGGGCGCAAGCCUGAUCCAGCCAUGCCGCGUGUGUGAAGAAGGCCCUCGGGUUGUAAAGCACUUUCAGUGGGGAAGAAAGCCUUCCGGUUAAUACCCGGGAGGAAGGACAUCACCCACAGAAGAAGCACCGGCUAACUCCGUGCCAGCAGCCGCGGUAAUACGGAGGGUGCGAGCGUUAAUCGGAAUUACUGGGCGUAAAGCGCGCGUAGGUGGCUUGAUAAGCCGGUUGUGAAAGCCCCGGGCUCAACCUGGGAACGGCAUCCGGAACUGUCAGGCUAGAGUGCAGGAGAGGAAGGUAGAAUUCCCGGUGUAGCGGUGAAAUGCGUAGAGAUCGGGAGGAAUACCAGUGGCGAAGGCGGCCUUCUGGACUGACACUGACACUGAGGUGCGAAAGCGUGGGUAGCAAACAGGAUUAGAUACCCUGGUAGUCCACGCCGUAAACGAUGUCGACUAGCCGUUGGGUCCUUCGCGGACUUUGUGGCGCAGUUAACGCGAUAAGUCGACCGCCUGGGGAGUACGGCCGCAAGGUUAAAACUC